GACGAACGCUGGCGGCGUGCUUAACACAUGCAAGUCGAACGAAGUGGCGAACGGGUGAGUAAUACGUGAGUAACCUGCCCUCCUUUUUGGGAUAAGCCUUGGAAACGGGGUCUAAUACCGAAUAAAGGGGGAUGGGCUCGCGGCCUAUCAGCUUGUUGGUGGGGUGAUGGCCUACCAAGGCGGUGACGGGUAGCCGGCCUGAGAGGGUUACCGGCGACAUGAGGACUGAGAUACGGCCCAGACUCCUACGGGAGGCAGCGGUGGGGGAUAUUGCACAAUGGGCGAAAGUCUGAGUCAGCAGCGCCGCGUUCGGGAGGACGGCCUUCGGGUUGUAAACCGCUUUCAGCCAGUACGCGGUAGUGGCAGAAGAAGCACCGGCUAACUACGUGCCAGCAGCCGCGGUAAUUC
RNAcentral lists this ribosomal RNA (408 nucleotides) under uncultured bacterium. Its description in RNAcentral is "partial 16S ribosomal RNA". It matches the Rfam family "Bacterial small subunit ribosomal RNA", at positions 28 to 526 of the family's 1533-position model. The record is from RNAcentral.